This 200-nucleotide ribosomal RNA is filed under the name uncultured bacterium. RNAcentral describes it as "partial 16S ribosomal RNA". It matches the Rfam family "Bacterial small subunit ribosomal RNA", at positions 328 to 539 of the family's 1533-position model. The record is from RNAcentral.
ACGCUCGACACCUACGGGAGGCAGCAGUGGGGAAUAUUGCACAAUGGGGGAAACCCUGAUGCAGCGACGCCGCGUGAGCGAAGAAGUAUUUCGGUAUGUAAAGCUCUAUCAGCAGGGAAGAAGAAAGACGGUACCUGACUAAGAAGCCCCGGCUAACUACGUGCCAGCAGCCACGGUAAUCUGAGGCGGGCUGGCAAGGC